GUCAGGAUGGCAGAGCGGUUUAAGGCGCUGUGUUCAGGUUGCAGUCUCCUAUGGAGACGUGGGUUCAAAUCCCACUUCUGACA
Molecule: non-coding RNA, 83 nt
Organism: Haplochromis burtoni (Burton's mouthbrooder)
Lineage: Eukaryota; Metazoa; Chordata; Actinopteri; Cichliformes; Cichlidae
Source: the annotation of a RefSeq genome assembly